RNAcentral lists this ribosomal RNA (153 nucleotides) under uncultured fungus. Its description in RNAcentral is "partial 5.8S ribosomal RNA". It matches the Rfam family "5.8S ribosomal RNA". Rfam says of the family: 5.8S ribosomal RNA (5.8S rRNA) is a component of the large subunit of the eukaryotic ribosome. The record is from RNAcentral. Lineage: Eukaryota; Fungi.
AACUUUCAACAACGGAUCUCUUGGCUCUCGCAUCGAUGAAGAACGCAGCGAAAUGCGAUAAGUAAUGUGAAUUGCAGAAUUCAGUGAAUCAUCGAAUCUUUGAACGCACCUUGCGCCUCUUGGUAUUCCGAGAGGCAUGCCUGUCGAGUGUCA